Molecule: ribosomal RNA, 492 nt
Filed under: uncultured bacterium
Lineage: Bacteria
Description: partial 16S ribosomal RNA
Rfam family: Bacterial small subunit ribosomal RNA
Source: RNAcentral
AGUGAACGCUGGCGGUAGGCCUAACACAUGCAAGUCGAACGGCAGCACAGUAAGAGCUUGCUCUUACGGGUGGCGAGUGGCGGACGGGUGAGGAAUACAUCGGAAUCUACUUUUUCGUGGGGGAUAACGUAGGGAAACUUACGCUAAUACCGCAUACGACCUACGGGUGAAAGCAGGGGAUCUUCGGACCUUGCGCGAUUGAAUGAGCCGAUGUCGGAUUAGCUAGUUGGCGGGGUAAAGGCCCACCAAGUCGACGAUCCGUAGCUGGUCUGAGAGGAUGAUCAGCCACACUGGAACUGAGACACGGUCCAGACUCCUACGGGAGGCAGCAGUGGGGAAUAUUGGACAAUGGGCGCAAGCCUGAUCCAGUCAUACCGCGUGGGUGAAGAAGGCCUUCGGGUUGUAAAGCCCUUUUGUUGGGAAAGAAAAGCAGCAGGUUAAUACCCCGCUGUUCUGACGGUACCCAAAGAAUAAGCACCGGCUAACUUCGUG